This 746-nucleotide long non-coding RNA is filed under the name Chlamydomonas reinhardtii. Its description in RNAcentral is "long non-coding RNA (CREI_LNC000950)". The record is from RNAcentral. Lineage: Eukaryota; Viridiplantae; Chlorophyta; Chlorophyceae; Chlamydomonadales; Chlamydomonadaceae.
CUGCACUGUACUCAACCCACCAUCCCCGCAACCCUCGCGUUGUACUUCAAUUCAUCACGCGCGAGUCUGUGCAAAAAGCAAAGGUAAACGUGUGUGUGCGUGUGUGUGUGCCCGUCUCAACCAACCUCCUCAAACGCCCUCCCACCACACGCUUUCCCAUGCCGACACACCUGCCCAGCUGGGUCCCCGCUCAUCAAACACCUCUCACCGCGCACGCCACACCGCCCUGUGGCCGUGUACACCUGCACUCUGCGCCCCACACCAGCCCCGCCCCAAACACGUGCCAAAACCCAAACAACAACCCGCCAUGCAUGCAGGGCGCAACAAGCCCAUGCGCCCGCUCGCGCCCAUCCGCUCACUUGCCCGAACCUGAGGCCGCCGCGCCCUGUGGGUGCGGGCUGGCUGGCCCCAGCGGCACCAGGUCUGGGUAGUCGGCCUCCAUCUGCGGGAUGGUGAGGUAGUCGGACUCGGAGCGCGGCGUCCACAGCAGCUCCACGGCCAUGAUGCGGUCGGAGGACAGGCCCGUCACCUGCAGGUGGUGGUGGGUUGGUUUGGGGUGUUGGUUGGUUUGGGGCGGGGCUGGUGUGGGGCGCAGAGUGCAGGUGUACACGGCCACAGGGCGGUGUGGCGUGCGCGGUGAGAGGUGUUUGAUGAGCGGGGACCCAGCUGGGCAGGUGUGUCGGCAUGGGAAAGCGUGUGGUGGGAGGGCGUUUGAGGAGGUUGGUUGAGACGGGCACACACACACG